AGCUUGCUGUUUCGCUGACGAGUGGCGGACGGGUGAGUAAUGUCUGGGAAACUGCCUGAUGGAGGGGGAUAACUACUGGAAACGGUAGCUAAUACCGCAUAACGUCGCAAGACCAAAGAGGGGGACCUUCGGGCCUCUUGCCAUCGGAUGUGCCCAGAUGGGAUUAGCUAGUAGGUGGGGUAACGGCUCACCUAGGCGACGAUCCCUAGCUGGUCUGAGAGGAUGACCAGCCACACUGGAACUGAGACACGGUCCAGACUCCUACGGGAGGCAGCAGUGGGGAAUAUUGCACAAUGGGCGCAAGCCUGAUGCAGCCAUGCCGCGUGUAUGAAGAAGGCCUUCGGGUUGUAAAGUACUUUCAGCGGGGAGGAAGGGAGUAAAGUUAAUACCUUUGCUCAUUGACGUUACCCGCAGAAGAAGCACCGGCUAACUCCGUGCCAGCAGCCGCGGUAAUACGGAGGGUGCAAGCGUUAAUCGGAAUUACUGGGCGUAAAGCGCACGCAGGCGGUUUGUUAAGUCAGAUGUGAAAUCCCCGGGCUCAACCUGGGAACUGCAUCUGAUACUGGCAAGCUUGAGUCUCGUAGAGGGGGGUAGAAUUCCAGGUGUAGCGGUGAAAUGCGUAGAGAUCUGGAGGAAUACCGGUGGCGAAGGCGGCCCCCUGGACGAAGACUGACGCUCANGUGCGAAAGCGUGGGGGAGCAAACAGGAUUAGAUACCCUGGUAGUCCACGCCGUAAACGAUGUCGACUUGGAGGUUGUGCCCUUGAGGCGUGGCUUCCGGAGCUAACGCGUUAAGUCGACCGCCUGGGAGUACGGUCCGCAAGUUAAUACUCAAAUGAAUGACCGGGGCC
RNAcentral lists this ribosomal RNA (850 nucleotides) under Escherichia coli. Its description in RNAcentral is "bacterial SSU rRNA". It matches the Rfam family "Bacterial small subunit ribosomal RNA", at positions 77 to 921 of the family's 1533-position model. Lineage: Bacteria; Pseudomonadati; Pseudomonadota; Gammaproteobacteria; Enterobacterales; Enterobacteriaceae. The record is from RNAcentral.